GCUACUACCGAUUGAAUGGUUUAGUGAGGACUCCUGAUUGGCGCCGCCGCCCCGGCAACGAAGCAGCGGACUGCCGAAAAGUUGUUCAAACUUGAUCAUUUAGAGGAAGUAAAAGUCGUAACAAGGUUUCCGUAGGUGAACCUGCAGAAGGAUCAUUCCGCGAUGCUACUACCGAUUGAAUGGUUUAGUGAGGACUCCUGAUUGGCGCCGCCGCCCCGGCAACGGAGCAGCGGACUGCCGAAAAGUUGUUCAAACUUGGUCAUUUAGAGGAAGUAAAAGUCGUAACAAGGUUUCUGUAGGUGAACCUGCAGAAGGAUCA
This 319-nucleotide unclassified non-coding RNA is filed under the name sea anemone metagenome. RNAcentral describes it as "partial contains small subunit ribosomal RNA and internal transcribed spacer 1". The stretch from base 1 to 158 matches the Rfam family "Eukaryotic small subunit ribosomal RNA", at positions 1678 to 1831 of the family's 1831-position model. The record is from RNAcentral.